Molecule: ribosomal RNA, 506 nt
Filed under: uncultured Glomeraceae
Lineage: Eukaryota; Fungi; Glomeromycota; Glomeromycetes; Glomerales; Glomeraceae
Description: SSU rRNA
Rfam family: Eukaryotic small subunit ribosomal RNA
Source: RNAcentral
AGCAGCCGCGGUAAUUCCAGCUCCAAUAGCGUAUAUUAAAGUUGUUGCAGUUAAAAAGCUCGUAGUUGAAUUUCGGGAUCAAUAUGUUGGUCGUGCCUUGGUACGUACUGGCAUUAUCGAUUCCUACCUUCUGAAGAACCUCGAUGUCAUUAAUUUGGUGUCUUGGGGAAUCAGGACUGUUACUUUGAAAAAAUUAGAGUGUUUAAAGCAGGCUCGCGCUUGAAUACAUUGGCAUGGAAUAAUGAAAUAGGACGUUUGAUUCUAUUUUGUUGGUUUCUAGGAUCGACGUAAUGAUUAAUAGGGAUAGUUGGGGGCAUUAGUAUUCAAUUGUCAGAGGUGAAAUUCUUGGAUUUAUUGAAGACUAACUACUGCGAAAGCAUUUGCCAAGGAUGUUUUCAUUAAUCAAGAACGAAAUUAGGGGAUCGAAGACGAUCAGGUACCGUCGUAGUCUUAACCAUAAACUAUGCCGACUAGGGAUCGGAUGAUGUUAAUUUUUUAAUGACUCA